This 72-nucleotide transfer RNA is filed under the name Camelus bactrianus (Bactrian camel). It matches the Rfam family "tRNA". Rfam says of the family: Transfer RNA (tRNA) molecules are approximately 80 nucleotides in length. Their secondary structure includes four short double-helical elements and three loops (D, anti-codon, and T loops). The record is from Rfam by way of RNAcentral. RNAcentral also lists the same sequence under 2 other names. Lineage: Eukaryota; Metazoa; Chordata; Mammalia; Artiodactyla; Camelidae.
GAGGGUAUAGCUCAGUGAUAGAACGUGUGCUUAGCAUGCACGAGGUCCUGGGUUCAAUCCCCAGUAUCUCCA